AAUGCAUACAAUGAUGAUGACAUAGUUCAGCAGACAAAUGUCUUUUGCUCCUUUCUAAUAUACCUG
Small nucleolar RNA from Erinaceus europaeus (western European hedgehog), 66 nucleotides. Lineage: Eukaryota; Metazoa; Chordata; Mammalia; Eulipotyphla; Erinaceidae. The record is from Ensembl.